ACUCAAAGGAAUAGACGGGGGCCCGCACAAGCGGUGGAUCAUGUGGUUUAAUUCGAAGCAACGCGAAGAACCUUACCUGGGUUUGACAUCCUCUGACAGUCGUAGAAAUACGAUCUUUGUAGCAAUACAACAGAGAGACAGGUGCUGCAUGGCUGUCGUCAGCUCGUGUGGUGACAUGUUGGGUUAAGUCCCGCAACGAGCGCAACCCCUGUCCUUAGUUGCCAGCAUUAAGUUGGGCACUCUAGGGAGACUGCCGUGGUUAACACGGAGGAAGGUGGGGAUGACGUCAAGUCCUCAUGGCCCUUACAUCCAGGGCGACACACGUGAUACAAUGGUCGGUACAAAGGGACGCGAAACGGCGACGUGGAGCAAAUCCCAAAAAACCGAUCUCAGUUCGGAUUGGAGUCUGCAAUUCGACUCCAUGAAGGUGGAAUCGCUAGUAAUCGCGGAUCAGCACGCCGCGGUGAAUACGUUCCCGGGCCUUGUACACACCGCCCGU
RNAcentral lists this ribosomal RNA (499 nucleotides) under uncultured bacterium. RNAcentral's name for it is "partial 16S ribosomal RNA". It matches the Rfam family "Bacterial small subunit ribosomal RNA", at positions 899 to 1397 of the family's 1533-position model. The record is from RNAcentral.